CAUGAGAGGGCCUCGUCCCCGUCUCUUUCCACUCGUCCAGAGCGCGGGCAGCCGCCGCAAGCGCCACCGCUUACCCUCGGCCGUCGGCGCCGCCGCCUACCCUCCGUCGUCGGCGUCCCCUCUUGCGUCCGCCGCCACGCCGGACCCUCCUCUGCCCCGCCUCGAGCGCCUCCCUCGAGCAGCCGUUCCCCAUCCCAGCAGCGUCGUCGCUCCCCGAAGCCGCUCCAGCCCAACAACACCGCCCCCGCACCUACGCCGGUGCUUCCUCCCACGUCCGCCGCCACACUGGACCCCCUCUACCGCGCCUCAAGCACUUCUCUGGAUCAGCCGCCCCCAUUCCAGCAGGGCCGUCGGACCCGGCAGCCGCCGCUCCUGCACAGCAACGCCGCCCCAGGAGCUACGCCGGCAGAUUGCAGGUAAAAUCUGGCGAUCUAUGUAACGACAACAAGAGAGUUUGUGAAGCAUUGCAUAUAAAGUAUUUUCUUGAAGAACAUUGCAUAGCAAAGUUUGCCUUCAAGAUUGUUAAUUCAGCAUGAUUGUUGGCUUGUUGCAUAUGAGCUCAGAUGCUAAAUGAGCGAUUGAUGAAAGCUAGGAGAUCACCAGCAACUUUAGUGUUUAUUAGUAGUUGAGCUGAUUAUGGUCAGAUUUCUUAUACAACUUAUCUAAUUAAUUUUUUGUCUUGUCAUUGGCUCAAUUGGAUCCAGAGCUACAUUGUAUAUCAUCCGUGUAUGAAAAUAAAUUGCUCUCAGUGUUCUA
Molecule: non-coding RNA, 756 nt
Organism: Triticum urartu
Lineage: Eukaryota; Viridiplantae; Streptophyta; Magnoliopsida; Poales; Poaceae
Source: RefSeq, a predicted model, not a curated record